UACGGGGGGGGCAAGCGUUGUUCGGAAUUACUGGGCGUAAAGGGCUCGUAGGCGGCCAACUAAGUCAGACGUGAAAUCCCUCGGCUUAACCGGGGAACUGCGUCUGAUACUGGAUGGCUUGAGAUUGGGAGGGGGAUGCGGAAUUCCAGGUGUAGCGGUGAAAUGCGUAGAUAUCUGGAGGAACACCGGUGGCGAAGGCGGCAUCCUGGACCAACACUGACGCUGAGUGAGCGAAAGCCAGGGGAGCAAACGGG
RNAcentral lists this ribosomal RNA (254 nucleotides) under uncultured bacterium. Its description in RNAcentral is "partial 16S ribosomal RNA". It matches the Rfam family "Bacterial small subunit ribosomal RNA", at positions 524 to 776 of the family's 1533-position model. The record is from RNAcentral.